RNA transcript from Zingiber officinale, 1431 nucleotides. RefSeq lists it as uncharacterized. The transcript is spliced from 3 exons. The record is from RefSeq and is a predicted model, not a curated record. NCBI's taxonomy places the organism in Eukaryota, Viridiplantae, Streptophyta, Magnoliopsida, Zingiberales, Zingiberaceae.
UGUUCUGUUAUUUGAUCUUUCGCGUUCUUGUGGAUUAAAGCCCUAAAAUGGACGAGGAGGAAGUAGCGGCGAUAUGUCGAAACCCGGAGGAUUUCUCGGCCUCAGCCACAGUCAUCCCUUUUGAUUCGCCGCUCCCUCUCCUGCGAGGACCUGUUCCGGCUGGCCUCUCAGAUGACCCUGCCGCCAGCCCCUUCGUCCUCGCUUUCAGAGACGCCGAUUCCUGGCGAUCUGCCUUCCGCUCUACCGAAGCAAAGAUGCUUGUUCAGUGUGAGGCUGGCGCACGCAUUGGAUGCUCAAUCUCUGCUUCUAACAAGUGCAAACCCCCUUGGUGGAAAGUUCUGUUUGGAAUUGCACGAAUGGAUUAUGUAGACCGAGAACAGUGCGAAGAGCGUGAGAUGGCUACUUGUCUUGCGGCUGCAAAAGAGGCAUGCAUUCAGUUUGCCGAGGAGAGAUGCUUGCAACCCUUCAGAGAUGCAAGAAUUGCUUCUGACAGUGUGAAUGGAAGCCCUCCGCUUGUUUUCUGGCACCACAAGACUGUCGAGAAAGAAUUGUCAGGCAAAAGAAAGGACUCUGAGCCAGCUUGUUUUGUUAAAGAAGUUUCCCAUGGUUCAUUGAAAUCCAACUGUGAAAUUUCAGUGACAAAUUAUAGGGGAAGUGACUUACUGGAUGGUGUAUUUGGAGAGAACAGCCAAGCAACUGCAGCUGAUUAACCCACGAAUAAAUUGUGAUUAUAGCAUGCUGGAUUGCAUCAAGCACUAGUGCACUUCACAUGUCCAUAGCCGACUUAGAUUAGAGAGAGCAGGCCCCUGCACCUUCUUUCCUUAAGAGUGUUGUGUUCUUCAAAGAGGAUAUGGAAAACGAGAGAAACAUGUGGACACCGUAUGCCCUGGAUAUUCUGAUGCCAUAUUGCUUCUUGUGUGUCUUCUGCAGUUUCUGCUACCAGACAAUGUGGUGGAGUUGGGGUCGAUGAACUGGAGCAUGUCGUACGAGUGAUAAUAUACCAGGAGCACGUUGAUGAAGAUGCCAAGUGGAAUCUGCCACAAUUAUGGUCAUUAUGUUCAUAAUUCAUUCUAAUUAGUUGCCAUCUUUGGAUAUAAUUUUUCCUUCAAUAAAAGUUUUAUGACGUGGCCACUGGACGCUUUGAUCAUGCAUUUGAUUAUGUAGUUGUAGAUUUGUUUUACUUGGAUGAAUUGGAUUGCAGCCGUUGUCUCUGUUCUCUGUAGAAAUCCGCCUUAUGCCAAAUAAUGACAUGUUCCAGCAAUUCUUAGCUACUGGGAGAAAAAAAAGAUGGUACUGAGCUAAAAGGGUUGUCGUCUUGAGAACAUACGAUUUGAUUUGGCAGAUUAGACUGGAUUUUAGUUGCAGAUAACAAUUGUAAGCGGCAGCUUUCGAUCUUCUUACGAAUGAUAUCAGUUGACUUUUUCAUUUACA